UUAAGCGACUAAGCGUACACGGUGGAUGCCCUGGCAGUCAGAGGCGAUGAAGGACGUGCUAAUCUGCGAAAAGCGUCGGUAAGGUGAUAUGAACCGUUAUAGCCGGCGAUGUCCGAAUGGGGAAACCCAGUGCAAUUCGUUGCACUAUCGUUAACUGAAUACAUAGGUUAACGAGGCGAACCGGGGGAACUGAAACAUCUAAGUACCCCGAGGAAAAGAAAUCAACCGAGAUUCCCCCAGUAGCGGCGAGCGAACGGGGAGCAGCCCAGAGUCUGAAUCAGCUUGUGUGUUAGUGGAACGGUCUGGAAAGUCCGACGGUACAGGGUGAUAGUCCCGUACACCAAAAUGCACAGGCUGUGAACUCGAAGAGUAGGGCGGGACACGUGGUAUCCUGUCUGAAUAUGGGGGGACCAUCCUCCAAGGCUAAAUACUCCUGACUGACCGAUAGUGAACCAGUACCGUGAGGGAAAGGCGAAAAGAACCCCGGCGAGGGGAGUGAAAAAGAACCUGAAACCGUGUACGUACAAGCAGUGGGAGCACCUUCGGGUGUGACUGCGUACCUUUUGUAUAAUGGGUCAGCGACUUAUAUUCUGUAGCAAGGUUAACCGUAUAGGGGAGCCGCAGGGAAACCGAGUCUUAACUGGGCGUUAAGUUGCAGGGUAUAGACCCGAAACCCGGUGAUCUAGCCAUGGGCAGGUUGAAGGUUGGGUAACACUAACUGGAGGACCGAACCGACUAAUGUUGAAAAAUUAGCGGAUGACUUGUGGCUGGGGGUGAAAGGCCAAUCAAACCGGGAGAUAGCUGGUUCUCCCCGAAAGCUAUUUAGGUAGCGCCUCGUGAACUCAUCUUCGGGGGUAGAGCACUGUUUCGGCUAGGGGGUCAUCCCGACUUACCAACCCGAUGCAAACUACGAAUACCGAAGAAUGUUAUCACGGGAGACACACGGCGGGUGCUAACGUCCGUCGUGAAGAGGGAAACAACCCAGACCGCCAGCUAAGGUCCCAAAGUCAUGGUUAAGUGGGAAACGAUGUGGGAAGGCACAGACAGCCAGGAUGUUGGCUUAGAAGCAGCCAUCAUUUAAAGAAAGCGUAAUAGCUCACUGGUCGAGUCGGCCUGCGCGGAAGAUGUAACGGGGCUAAACCAUGCACCGAAGCUGCGGCAGCGACACUAUGUGUUGUUGGGUAGGGGAGCGUUCUGUAAGCCUGCGAAGGUGUGCUGUGAGGCAUGCUGGAGGUAUCAGAAGUGCGAAUGCUGACAUAAGUAACGAUAAAGCGGGUGAAAAGCCCGCUCGCCGGAAGACCAAGGGUUCCUGUCCAACGUUAAUCGGGGCAGGGUGAGUCGACCCCUAAGGCGAGGCCGAAAGGCGUAGUCGAUGGGAAACAGGUUAAUAUUCCUGUACUUGGUGUUACUGCGAAGGGGGGACGGAGAAGGCUAUGUUAGCCGGGCGACGGUUGUCCCGGUUUAAGCAUGUAGGCUGGUUAUCCAGGCAAAUCCGGAUAAUCAAGGCUGAGGUGUGAUGACGAGGCACUACGGUGCUGAAGUAACAAAUGCCCUGCUUCCAGGAAAAGCCUCUAAGCAUCAGGUAACAUCAAAUCGUACCCCAAACCGACACAGGUGGUCAGGUAGAGAAUACCAAGGCGCUUGAGAGAACUCGGGUGAAGGAACUAGGCAAAAUGGUGCCGUAACUUCGGGAGAAGGCACGCUGGUGUGUAGGUGAAGUCCCUGCGGAUGGAGCUGAGACCAGUCGAAGAUACCAGCUGGCUGCAACUGUUUAUUAAAAACACAGCACUGUGCAAACACGAAAGUGGACGUAUACGGUGUGACGCCUGCCCGGUGCCGGAAGGUUAAUUGAUGGGGUUAUCCGUAAGGAGAAGCUCUUGAUCGAAGCCCCGGUAAACGGCGGCCGUAACUAUAACGGUCCUAAGGUAGCGAAAUUCCUUGUCGGGUAAGUUCCGACCUGCACGAAUGGCGUAAAUGAUGGCCAGGCUGUCUCCACCCGAGACUCAGUGAAAUUGAACUCGCUGUGAAGAUGCAGUGUACCCGCGGCAAGACGGAAAGACCCCGUGAACCUUUACUAUAGCUUGACACUGAACAUUGAGCCUUGAUGUGUAGGAUAGGUGGGAGGCUUUGAAGCGUGGACGCCAGUCUGCGUGGAGCCAACCUUGAAAUACCACCCUUUAAUGUUUGAUGUUCUAACGUUGGCCCCUUACCGGGGUUGCGGACAGUGUCUGGUGGGGUAGUUUGACUGGGGCGGUCUCCUCCCAAAGCGUAACGGAGGAGCACGAAGGUUAGCUAAUCCUGGUCGGACAUCAGGAGGUUAGUGCAAUGGCAUAAGCUAGCUUGACUGCGAGCGUGACGGCGCGAGCAGGUGCGAAAGCAGGUCAUAGUGAUCCGGUGGUUCUGAAUGGAAGGGCCAUCGCUCCAACGGAUAAAAGGUACUCCGGGGAUAACAGGCUGAUACCGCCCAAGAGUUCAUAUCGACGGCGGUGUUUGGCACCUCGAUGUCGGCUCAUCACAUCCUGGGGCUGAAGUAGGUCCCAAGGGUAUGGCUGUUCGCCAUUUAAAGUGGUACGCGAGCUGGGUUUAGAACGUCGUGAGACAGUUCGGUCCCUAUCUGCCGUGGGCGCUGGAGAAUUGAGGGGGGCUGCUCCUAGUACGAGAGGACCGGAGUGGACGCAUCACUGGUGUUCGGGUUGUCAUGCCAAUGGCACUGCCCGGUAGCUAAAUGCGGAAGAGAUAAGUGCUGAAAGCAUCUAAGCACGAAAACUUGCCCCGAGAUGAGUUCUCCCUGAGACUUUAAGUCUCCUGAAGGAACGUUGAAGACGACGACGUUGAUAGGCCGGGUGUGUAAGCGCAGCGAUGCGUUGAGCUAACCGGUACUAAUGAACCGUGAGGCUUAACCUU
RNAcentral lists this ribosomal RNA (2904 nucleotides) under Klebsiella pneumoniae. RNAcentral's name for it is "bacterial LSU rRNA". It matches the Rfam family "Bacterial large subunit ribosomal RNA". The record is from RNAcentral. Lineage: Bacteria; Pseudomonadati; Pseudomonadota; Gammaproteobacteria; Enterobacterales; Enterobacteriaceae.